GACGAACGCUGGCGGCGCGCCUAACACAUGCAAGUCGAACGGAGCUGUGAGAAUCUUGCUUUUCUUAGCUGAGUAUCUUAUGGGUGAGUAACGCGUGAGUAACUUGCGCGUGAGUGGGGGGCAACAUAUGGAGGCGACUGCUAAGACCACAUCUGCUCACGCUCCGGCAGCGCAUUGAAGGGAAAGGAUUUAUUCGCUUCAGGAUGGACGCGCGUCCAAUUAGCGAGUUGGUGAGGUAACGGCCCACCAAGGCGACGAUUGGUAGCCGGACUGAGAGGUUGACCGGCCACAUUGGGACUGAGACACGGCCCAGACUCCUACGGGAGGCAGCAGUGGGGGAUAUUGCACAAUGGGGGAAACCCUGAUGCAGCGACGCCGCGUGGAGGAAGAAGGUUUUCGGAUUGUAAACUCCUGUCGUCAGGGACGAUAAUGACGGUACCUAACAAGAAAGCACCGGCUAACUACGUG
RNAcentral lists this ribosomal RNA (468 nucleotides) under uncultured bacterium. Its description in RNAcentral is "partial 16S ribosomal RNA". It matches the Rfam family "Bacterial small subunit ribosomal RNA", at positions 28 to 507 of the family's 1533-position model. The record is from RNAcentral.